UAUGAUCGUAUGAUUAGACCUGUUAUCACAGCUGCAGGACUGACUGAAUAUUUUGUGAUCUUCAGUGUGCCACCAAAUGAUUUAGAAUUGUUUUCAGUGGCAUCAAAAUUCAUAUCAGAAUCUGAUUUUAUGUUGAAUUGGCUUAUCUUAAAAACAGUGAAAAACUUGAAAAUUCAGCACUAUUGCCUGUACACUGUAAAAACAAAAAGUUAGAAUAACCCCUGCUUGGUUACUUUCACCAGUAAAUUGAAUAGUUAUUGUAACCAUUAUUUUGUUAUCUUAACUACUUUUAGGUUAAUUUUAAUCUGAGGAGUUAUUUUCACCAAAUUAA
This is a long non-coding RNA of Amphimedon queenslandica, 331 nucleotides long. RefSeq lists it as uncharacterized. Lineage: Eukaryota; Metazoa; Porifera; Demospongiae; Haplosclerida; Niphatidae. The record is from RefSeq and is a predicted model, not a curated record. The transcript is spliced from 2 exons.